Molecule: non-coding RNA, 72 nt
Organism: Phthorimaea operculella (potato tuberworm)
Lineage: Eukaryota; Metazoa; Arthropoda; Insecta; Lepidoptera; Gelechiidae
Source: the annotation of a GenBank genome assembly
GCAUUGAUAGUUCAGUGGCAGAGCAGUGGGUCGCUGACCCAUACUGGCCGGCCUCGAGCCCCAGUCGAUGCA